Molecule: transfer RNA, 68 nt
Filed under: Euthynnus alletteratus (little tunny)
Lineage: Eukaryota; Metazoa; Chordata; Actinopteri; Scombriformes; Scombridae
Description: tRNA-Cys
Source: RNAcentral
AGCCCUGAGGUGUAUUGACAUGUAAGAUUGCAAAUCUUAAGGAGCAGAUUAGUCGUCUGCCGGGGCUU